GCCGAAAUGAUGAAAUAGGUAGACAUAAUUGACUUAAAAUCAAUUGAUCAGAAAUGAUCGUCCGGGUUCGACUCCCGGUUUCGGUA
RNAcentral lists this transfer RNA (86 nucleotides) under Crassvirales sp. RNAcentral's name for it is "tRNA-Leu". It matches the Rfam family "tRNA". From Rfam's summary of the family: Transfer RNA (tRNA) molecules are approximately 80 nucleotides in length. Their secondary structure includes four short double-helical elements and three loops (D, anti-codon, and T loops). Lineage: Duplodnaviria; Heunggongvirae; Uroviricota; Caudoviricetes; Crassvirales. The record is from RNAcentral.